GUGCCUAACACAUGCAAGUCGAACGAGAAAGUGGAGCAAUCCAUGAGUAAAGUGGCGACCGGGUGAGUAACACGUGACUACCUACCCUCGAGUGGGGGAUAACUCCGGGAAACCGGAGCUAAUACCGCAUAACAUCGAGAGAUCAAAGCAGUAAUGCGCUUGAGGAGGGGGUCGCGGCUGAUUAGCUAGUUGGCGGGGUAACGGCCCACCAAGGCGAUGAUCGGUAGCCGGCCUGAGAGGGCGCACGGCCACACUGGAACUGAAACACGGUCCAG
Molecule: ribosomal RNA, 275 nt
Filed under: uncultured bacterium
Lineage: Bacteria
Description: partial 16S ribosomal RNA
Rfam family: Bacterial small subunit ribosomal RNA
Source: RNAcentral